This 506-nucleotide ribosomal RNA is filed under the name uncultured bacterium. RNAcentral's name for it is "partial 16S ribosomal RNA". It matches the Rfam family "Bacterial small subunit ribosomal RNA", at positions 28 to 523 of the family's 1533-position model. The record is from RNAcentral.
GAUGAACGCUAGCUACAGGCUUAACACAUGCAAGUCGAGGGGUAACAAGAGAAAAGCUUGCUUUUCUUGUUGACGACCGGCGCACGGGUGAGUAACGCGUAUCCAACCUGCCUAUAACUAGGGAAUAACCUUGCGAAAGUAAGACUAAUACCCUAUGAUUUCCUUUGAUGACAUCAGAUUAGGAAUAAAGAUUUAUCGGUUAUAGAUGGGGAUGCGUCUGAUUAGCUUGUUGGCGGGGUAACGGCCCACCAAGGCAACGAUCAGUAAGGGUUCUGAGAGGAAGGUCCCCCACAUUGGAACUGAGACACGGUCCAAACUCCUGCGGGAGGCAGCAGUGAGGAAUAUUGGUCAAUGGGCGGAAGCCUGAACCAGCCAAGUAGCGUGCAGGAUGACGGCCCUAUGGGUUGUAAACUGCUUUUAUACAGGAAUAAAGUUAGCCACGUGUGGUUAUUUGUAGGUACUGUAUGAAUAAGGACCGGCUAAUUCCGUGCCAGCAGCCGCCGUAA